GUGGGGAAUAUUGGACAAUGGGCGAAAGCCUGAUCCAGCCAUGCCGCGUGUGUGAAGAAGGUUUUCGGAUCGUAAAACUCUGUUGUUAGAGAAGAACAAGGAUGAGAGUAACUGCUCAUCCCCUGACGGUAUCUAACCAGAAAGCCACGGCUAACUACGUGCCAGCAGCCGCGGUAAUACGUAGGUGGCAAGCGUUGUCCGGAUUUAUUGGGCGUAAAGCGAGCGCAGGCGGUUCUUUAAGUCUGAUGUGAAAGCCCCCGGCUCAACCGGGGAGGGUCAUUGGAAACUGGAGAACUUGAGUGCAGAAGAGGAGAGUGGAAUUCCACGUGUAGCGGUGAAAUGCGUAGAUAUGUGGAGGAACACCAGUGGCGAAGGCGACUCUCUGGUCUGUAACUGACGCUGAGGCUCGAAAGCGUGGGGAGCAAACAGGAUUAGAAACCCUGGUAGUCC
RNAcentral lists this ribosomal RNA (450 nucleotides) under uncultured bacterium. RNAcentral describes it as "bacterial SSU rRNA". It matches the Rfam family "Bacterial small subunit ribosomal RNA", at positions 354 to 796 of the family's 1533-position model. The record is from RNAcentral.